Molecule: ribosomal RNA, 239 nt
Filed under: uncultured bacterium
Lineage: Bacteria
Description: partial 16S ribosomal RNA
Rfam family: Bacterial small subunit ribosomal RNA
Source: RNAcentral
AUUGAACGCUGGCGGCAGGCUUAACACAUGCAAGUCGAACGGUAACAGGGAGUAGCUUGCUACUUUGCUGACGAGUGGCGGACGGGUGAGUAAGGUAUGGGGAAUUUGCCGAAUGGAGGGGGACAACAGUUGGAAACGGCUGCUAAUACCGCAUAACGUCGCGAGACCAAAGGGUGGGACUUUCGGGCCACCUGCCAUUUGAUGGGCCCAUAUUGAGAUUAGCUAGUUGGUGUGGUAAG